RNAcentral lists this long non-coding RNA (8163 nucleotides) under Homo sapiens (human). RNAcentral describes it as "HSALNT0059116". Lineage: Eukaryota; Metazoa; Chordata; Mammalia; Primates; Hominidae. The record is from RNAcentral.
CUUGAAUCAGGGAGGUGGAGAUUGCAGAGAGCUGAGAUCAUGCCAUUGCACUCCAGCAUGGGUGACAGAGCGAAACUCCAUAAAAAAAAAAAAUGUAAGGGCUUGAAAAUAGUUUAUCAUCAUCAUUAAUUUAUUUCUGUAAACUCUUCCCCUUUCCUCUUUCCUCUUAGCAUAAUUGAACUUCCACAUGGAGGUCUGUUCUACUCCUGAUUCGAGUUUUGUAAAUAAUCUUUGUGGUAUUCUUUUGUGCCAAUGACAGCAGUUUAUUCUUCAGUUGAUCUUUUUGCCUCUUCUUCUUUUCCCCCAGCCAGCUUUCAAUGGUUAUAGAGCUUUAGCCUUCUGUGAAGAUAGAAAAAGCAUUCAUAUACUUUCCUUUGCAGAUCUAUCAUCUCCUUUCCAUUAAAGCAAUCCCUUGAUAUACCACAUACUCGAGUCUUAGUCAUUUCUUUCAAUAUGCAAUGCUGACUUGUUGGCAUAAUUUCAUCUCACUUACACAUUUUCAAACACAUUCUUCUCAACCUGAAGUCUGAGUAAGCUGGUAGCAAUGAAGACAAAAACAGUAUUCACCUUCAAUCACCAUAGUGUCCCAGCCCCUAGCUCAGUGCCAGCCAAAUAAUAAGAACCCACAAAUAUUUGGGUAAUGAAUGAGUAAAUGGGCUGUGUGUUGACAAGAGAGUAGCUGAAACGCUAAACUCAUUUGUUUUUUAGUGACAGUUACUAAGUGGGGAGAAUUCCAGGGGGAAUAAUGAUGGAGGACAGUGUGGAGUCUAAAGCCAAUGUGUGUGUGUGUGUGUGUGCGUGUUUGCGUGCAUGUGUGUGUGAGAGAGAGAGAGAGAUGUUCAGAGAUUAGCAGGAAGUACAGUUCAGAAUCAAAUAGCUUAAAGGAAAAGGAGGGAUUGGGACAUCACCCAUGGUAAAGGGUUCUGAGAAGCUACCCUAUUGAUUCAUAGAGGGUGUUCAGAGUCCCGUGUUUUAGUGACCCCAGUUCCACCUAGACCCAGCUCCAGGCAUAAUAUGUUUGACAAAAUGGCAGGACAGUGAAAGGGUCAUUAAAGUACUUUAUUUGUAUCAUGAAAAGAUUGACUUAUAAAUCUUCAUUAAAUAUUUGCCUUCCUAGCCAGACAUAAGCUCCAUAAAGACAGGCGCUGGCCCUCAGGGAGCAAGUGAACUGGCAUGGUGCCUGGCGCCCAGCAGUUCCUUCAUGAAGAUUUCAGAAUGACCAAGUGAGUUGAAUGCACAGCCCAGGCAUCUGUGUUUUCACACCUCUCCAGGGUCUGUUCCAUUAUUCACGUAGAAAAACCUGUUAACUAUUGUGAAGCAGCCUUGUAUCUGUAGCUGCCACACACUUCUCAAUGACCUUCCCUUUCCAAGUUGAGUUUUGCACCAUGUCAACAAGUGGCAGCUUUCUAGCAUCAAAUUGUUUGUCCAGGGUUAUCAGCAUUACUUUCUUUUCUUGUCCUCACUACAAUACACAUGCCCAUCUCAAAUCAGUUCCAUUGUUACUUAGGUAAUAGUAUUGUAGGGUGUCUUUACUUCAGAAAGAAUGAUAUAUUUAGCAAAUGUUACAGAUAUAGGAGGUUUUAAGUGGGACUAAAUGCAGCAAUUAAUGCUAAUGAGUCUGCUGUUAGCAUGUAAUAUUCUUGGUGUUAUAAUCAUGCAUCACUGAAUGCGAAGCCUCAGUUUGUGCAACAGAUGCCGAUCUUAAUGGCUAUAUUCUCUUCCCAUGGAUAAGCUAGCUUUAGUUAAAUGAAUCAUUAAGAAUAACCAUUUAAAAUGUUAAUGAAAACAGUGAUUAUAACCACCAAGAUUUUUUUUUUAACUUCUGGCUCUAUUACUUUUUAUUUUCGAAAGGACUUUGGGAAGGUAAGAAACUUAUUGCCUGUGUAUGUUGUUUUAAACAGAGAAGGCCGAUACAGUUUCUGUUCACAGCAGCCCUGAGGCCGCAUGCCUGUAUUAUUAACACCAACCGUACUUGGAGACUAACUCUCUUUUGUUCUCAUUUGUCAUUUCUUUUAAAUAUUCAUUUAGGGUAUAAGACAGAAUUGGGUAAGUAGGAUCCUUGACAGUCCAACUAGUUGGUAAACAAAUAUUUUGUCUUCCUGAAAGUAUCAUUAUACUAUCGCAAAUUAAGACUGAAAAGGAAAAAAAUACCAGGAUGUUGAUAUUUAAGAAUAAAUACUUUAUCUUUUCAGAACAACAAUAAGAAGGCUGGUUUAGGCUUUAUCGCUGGAAAAUGGAGUUUGUGAAACAAAGAAGUAAUAGAUGCAUAGCAAGAGCUCAGUGUCCUUCCACAUUGUGUCACCGGUUGUACCCUGAGACAGAUUCUCCAAGUCUUAGAACAUGGAUAUGCAGUGAGAGUGAGGUUUACGUAGAAAAGUCUUUGUGUCUUGGGAGUGCCAUGUGUAUUGAAUGUCUAUGACUCAUGUCUCCCCUUGACUCACUUCUUGGCUGGGCUACAUGACUCAUCAGGCCUGGUAGGUUCAGGGCAGUGUAGCUGGUGGGGAAGGGCUAAGUGAAGAGGGGCUGUCUAGACCUGGGGAGCAUGGUUAUAAUGAGCUUUUUCAAACGUACAACUCAACUCUCUUGCACCUAGGAAGUAUCUUCAUCCAGAAGGAGUUCUCAGUCCUUUUUCUGGUCCUGCAGAGCAAAAGAGGAGAGAGAAAAAGAGAAUGAGUUACAUGGGCCCACUGUAUGUUAUAGCUGACUGCUGAUGGUAUCAGAGAAUUAUUUUCUUCAGCUUUGUCUUCCAAAGGACAAUGGUGUGAGGAGGACUUCAUCCUUGUGUAACACCCUGUGUGUGUGUUUUUCUUCUUUCUCUCACCAAAGCAUUUUUUUUUCCUCCCUUUUGCUGGAGGCCUGUCUCUUUCUCUUGAACAGAUCAACAAUCAGGUCGUAAAUGGGAGUUGGAGCCGGAUGAUCAAAAAGAACUUUAGAAAAAUGGGAAUAAAAGCAAGAGCUGAUGAGUUUGAAAUGAAAGCCCAUCUGGGAGAGCUCUUCUAAUGAACUCAGCCUACUCAAACUGUACAAAGAAAGCUGAAGAAUGAUUGCAGCUGCAAUCUCCAACCUACAUAAAGCACUAACGCUGGUAAGGUGAUGAAAGUGAAGGGAGGUAACUGGUAUCUGGAUUUGGAAGAGAGAAGUCAAAGGCCAUCACCCCCUUGUACUACUGCAUUCACCAUGUAAGUUCCUUCGGAAAUUUCACAGCCAAUCUGAAUUAAAGAGACAGCUGCAGAUGCUUCAGGAUGAAGGUCACACUCUGAAUUCUACGAAGAGCCCUAUGAUUCAAAAGUACCAUCUCUUUAGCCUCAGAGCAGUUGUAUACCACCUUCUCACUUGCUCUGUCCCUGGGCUAGUAUGGCUUUGAAAUUAUGUUAAAGAAGAGGCAUUUUCCCUCACAAAGACUCCCAAAAUAUGACUAUUAAGUGAAAGAACAGGUAGAGGGAGGGAAAGAGCUGAAUCUAAGUGGAGAUUAAUAAAGUGUUGUUUUGAAAUUGUUCCUUUAUUUUUCCUGGGUUAAUUAUCGCCAUUUAGUCACGACUUCCUGACACAGCACCAGAAAUUUUGUUGAAAUCUUAAUAUUCUGCAGGAAACUGACCUGACUACCAGCAGGAAUUAUAUUGACUAAUUAAUAAUGUCCAGUCUCCCUCAAGGAUAAGUCACCUCUGUCUGGCUCUAUCAUGGCCACUCUUAGAAUGAUGGUGAUGGUCCACUGAUUGUCACAUCCAAUGAAUUUAUCUGAAGUAUUUGUCCUAUGUAACCUCUUCAAAGCUUUCAGCGCCAGUCACCACCCAGUUUUCAUUUUCUUGUUUCUCUUCCUAACUCUCUCACAAUUUCUCAAUUUCCAUAAUUGUCUCCUCUUUCUCCAUGCACACUUUUAUACAUUGUUUUUCUCCAGGAUUGUACUUUUCUCCUGAUCUCACAGAGCACUCCUAAUACAGUGUUGGUUUUAUUUACAUUUAAUAUAAUUGAAAUCUGAAAUGGUAUACUCAGCUGCUCCAUGUAGAUAUUUGAGGGUACCUCAAAUUCAACAUGUCCUGAGCUGAAACUCAUCAUCUUCCACUUUACUUUGGUUCUUCUUCUAAAUUCCCUGUUAUCAGUUAAUGGAACUCUAAUUCAUCUAUAAAUUUAAGCUAGUAUCCACAGAAUUAUUAUUUUUGGGGGGGUGGGGGGUGGGGUACAGAGUCUCACUCUGUUGCUCAGGCUGGCUUGCAAUGGCACAAUCUUGGCUCACUGUAACCUCUGCCUCCCAGGUUCAAGCAAUCCUCCCAGCUCAGUCUCCUGAGUAGCUGGGAAUACAGGUGCAUGCCACCACACCUGGCUAAUUUUUGCAUUUUUAGGAGACACGGUUUCAACAUGUUGGCUAGGCUGGUCUCAAACUCCUGACCUCAAGUGAUCUGCUUGCCUCAGCCUCCCAAAGUGCUGGGAUUACAAACGUAAGCCACCACCCCCAGCCAAAGUUAUUCUUAUUUCCUUCUUUUUCUUCAUGUGUCUUAUGUAGUCAUAUAUUAUUUUACAUUUUUUCUAAUUUUUAAAAAAUUAUUUAAACAAAUUUUUAGCACACACCACCUUUGUUAUUCUCAUAAAUUGACCUCUACUCUCCAUCGUCACUUCCACUGCCUUUGUUCAGUGCCUUGUCAUUUGUUACCAGCAUCACUACGUAGAUUUCCAACUGGUGUUUUGGUCUGCGAUAUUGUAUCCCCUUACCCACAGCUAUUCCAUCUGUCUUUCAUAGUGAACAGAAUGUACAUACAUAAAGUUGAUCAUGUACUCAUCUUAUUUAAAUGUUCGUGGUCUUUUUACCUGUAAAAAUCCAAAUAGAUUAGUAAAACAUCAGUUCACUUAACCUAGCUUUCCAACCCCGAUCUCUUGACAUUACACUCCUUUUGCUAUGAAUUUUAUGCUUUAUUCAGACUUCAAUCUCACCCUUUCUAGAUCUGGUUUUUCCUUUUUAUUUAAAAUGUCUUGUUUGGCAAGCUCCUGCUUACUAUACAAAAUCUAUCUCAGAUGUGCCCUUCUCUGUGAUUCAUUCUCUCCAAUUUCCCUAGUUGAUUCUCAGCUUAUGCUAGCAUUUUAAGUCUUUGUUUUUCUGCUUUUCAUCACUAUUUUAAGAGUGGGCCCAAACCAUGUCUUCUCAACUUUUGCAUCUCUAUUGCCUAUCAAAGUUCCUUACACAAAGAAGUUUCUAGAUAAUUACUCAAUGGAUGAAUGAAUACAUGGGAGUCUUUUGCCUCUCAUCUCACAUUUAUAAGAGUGUCCCCACUCUGAUGUACCUUGAAGGUGGAAGAAACUUACUAUUCCAAGUGGUGUUGAAAGCGGAGAAGUUGUGACAGGACAAGAAGUGUUUUUCUAAUCUAAACCAGGUAUCUUAUUUCCCUAUAUUUGCUUCUAUCAUUUUCUCUACUCCUCUAGGUCUAGAAAAAUGAUGAUAUCUAUGAUACAUCUACGUUAUACUAUAAUAGAUAUGUGAAACUAAAUUUUUUGUCACUCUUUUAAAUUGUUUUAAAUUGACAUGUAAUAAUUGUGCAUAUUCAUUACAUGUGAUGUUUCAAUACAUAUAAUGUAUAGUGAUCAGAUCAGGGCAAUCAACAUAUACAUCAUCUCAAACAUUUGUCAUUUCUUUGUGUUGAGAAGGUUCAAUAACCUACUUUUAGCUAUUUGAAAUUAUAUAUUAUUGUUAACUCUAGUCAUCCUAUCUUGGUACAGAAUGCAUUAGAACUUAUUUCCCUUAUCUAGCUGUAGUUUUGUAUUCUUUAACAAAUCUCUUAUCAUCCAAACAGUAAAUUAAAAAAUAAAUACAAUAUGCAGGGGAAACUGCAUAACUCAAAUUCUAAAAAUAUGCUUAAGAGUGAAAACAAAAACUGAUUUCGAAUAUAUUGAUGCCCUUUCUGUAUUUGGUAGACUUAAAUAUGAACAUUUGUAUUAUCUUUUGUUAGUGUCUCUUGACUUAGAGGCUUAUAUUUAAGGAUCCCAAUAAAUAUUUUUUAAUCCAUACUCAAUGUCAUACUGAGGACUAACCACCUAUGAGUUUAUAGAGGGAUUGUGAUUAGAUCAUAAUCAGUUUUCUCACUGAUCUAUUGAAGCAGGUUAAUUUGGUCUCACAGAACUUUAAAAUUUUUUCUUUCUCUACUUCAUUUCACUGUGAAAUUAGCAAUUAUUUUUUCCUGUAAGGUAAUAAUAUGAUCAAGAAGAAAAACAGGAAGGCUGAUAAAGAGAUAUGUACAGUAGAAUUUUCUCCACUGAUCCUUUGUCUGGAAGGCAACUAAAAUUUAGGCAGUCCAGAUUCUUUCAGUCAACAGGAGGCACUGUAGUUAUUCAGAUAAAACUAUGUUUCAUUCCUUAAUUUUGGUAAAUACCAUCCUAUAUUUAUUUUCUUGGAUUAUUAUAAAACACAAUCUCAGAAUUCUGUAUAUCACAUCUGAAUCUGCAAUCUGAAUUAAGCAAAAGAAAAAACUUAGAAUGAGAUUAAUUUUAUUUGUCUAACUGACUGGGCUAAGUGGUGCUUAGACAGUUGUUUAAACAUUAUUCCUGGAUGUGUCUGUGAGGGUGUUUCUGGAUGAGAUUAACAUUUGAAUUGGUAGACUGAGAAAGCAGAUUGAUCUUCCCAAAUGUGGGUAGGCCUCACCUAAUCCAUUGAAGGCCUGAAUAGAAUAAAAGGCUAAGUAAGAAAGAAUUAUCUCUCAUUACCUGCCUUCAAGCUAGGACAUUAGUUUUCUCCUGCCUUCACACUUGGACUUGGACUGAAAUUACUUUCACACUAUCAGCUUUCCUGAGUCUUCAGCUUAUUGGCUGUAGAUUUUGAGACUUCUCAGCUUCCAUAAUCAUGUGAGCCAUUUUAAAAUUUUAUCUAUCUAUCUAUCUAUCUGUCUGUCUGUCUGUCUAUCUUCUAUGGGUUUUGUUUCUCUGAAGAAAUCAGACUAAUACAGUAAGUUUUAACAAAAUAUUUUAAGUAAGCUGAGCUUAGCUCAAUCAAAUGAAUAAUAAUACAUUAUUGUCUUUUAUACCUUGCUCUUUAUCACACUCUAAGAAGAUAUUUCUUAAAGUCCUUAUUCUCUUAUCCUCAAUCACAGUAUUACCCACCCCCCCAAAAAAAACUUUACUAAAGGAAGUUGCUGCUGUAGCUCAUCAACAUAUGUCCUUAUAUUUAAAGAAUAUUGGUGUGUAUAGCUUUAGUCAGAGGUGGAUUAUCUAGUUUCUUUACUAUAUUAAUCAUUGUAUUCUGUCCUGAGACUAGAAUAUACUGAUAUAAUAGACAGUGUAGACUGGGCACAGUGGCUCACACCUAUAAUCCCAGCAUUUUGGGAGGCCCAGGUGGGCAGAUCACUUGAGGCCAGGAAUUUGAGACCAGCCUGGGCAACAUGGCAAAACCCCUGUCUGUACUAAAAAUACAAAAAUUAGCCAGGCAUAGUGUCACAUGAUUAUAGUCCCUGAUACUUAGAGAUUGAGAUACAGAAUCGCUUGAACCUGGGAGGCAGAGGUUGCAGUGAGCUGAGAUUAUGCCACUGCACUCCAGCCUGGGUGACAGAGUGAGACUCCUUCUCAAAAAAAAAAAAAAAAAAAAAAAAGAAAGACAGUGUACAUAUCAUAUAUUUUUGUUCAUGUGUUCUUUCUGUGUCACUUCCUCUCAUUCCAUCUUUUUUUUUUUUUUUUGGCUAUAUUCUUUGCUUUGAGGACAUGAGUCAAUGUAAGAAAAUGGCUUAUUUAUAUAUCCUUCCCUUUUUGCUCUUAUGCAGUGUGAGUCCCUUAAAGUCCCUUAAUCUUUAUGAACAUUCUUCUGUCUAAAUAAGACCUUGUGCCAUGUCACACGAUGCUUCACAUUAAAAUUAUACCUCUGCUAGACUGUAAAAUUAAGGAAGUCAGAGUCCCUAAUUUAUUUUUUCUAAGUGUAUCAGUGCAGUAAUGAUUUGAGUGCACAAAAAUCCUACGGGUAUUCAAUAAAAAAUUCUGUAACAAUAAAGAUAAUUUCAAAAAUAAAAUUUCUGAUUUAUCAUUGUACCUUUGUAUAAUACCUGAAUCACAGAAUACUGUGACAGAGGGUAAGAAAAUAGGAACUUUAUGAAAUAUGCCCUGAGAGGACAGAAUCAGAGUGGAAGUGAUCAAAGAAUGCAUUGUUUAUUAAGUAGAAAGCUUUCUCUAAGUGAGCCCACGUAGAUUUCUUUCCCCAUC